Molecule: ribosomal RNA, 710 nt
Filed under: Pseudoalteromonas sp.
Lineage: Bacteria; Pseudomonadati; Pseudomonadota; Gammaproteobacteria; Alteromonadales; Pseudoalteromonadaceae
Description: bacterial SSU rRNA
Rfam family: Bacterial small subunit ribosomal RNA
Source: RNAcentral
UGAGUAAUGCUUGGGAACAUGCCUUGAGGUGGGGGACAACAGUUGGAAACGACUGCUAAUACCGCAUAAUGUCUACGGACCAAAGGGGGCUUCGGCUCUCGCCUUUAGAUUGGCCCAAGUGGGAUUAGCUAGUUGGUGAGGUAAUGGCUCACCAAGGCGACGAUCCCUAGCUGGUUUGAGAGGAUGAUCAGCCACACUGGGACUGAGACACGGCCCAGACUCCUACGGGAGGCAGCAGUGGGGAAUAUUGCACAAUGGGCGCAAGCCUGAUGCAGCCAUGCCGCGUGUGUGAAGAAGGCCUUCGGGUUGUAAAGCACUUUCAGUCAGGAGGAAAGGGUGGUGGUUAAUACCCGUCAUGUGUGACGUUACUGACAGAAGAAGCACCGGCUAACUCCGUGCCAGCAGCCGCGGUAAUACGGAGGGUGCGAGCGUUAAUCGGAAUUACUGGGCGUAAAGCGUACGCAGGCGGUUUGUUAAGCGAGAUGUGAAAGCCCCGGGCUCAACCUGGGAACUGCAUUUCGAACUGGCAAACUAGAGUGUGAUAGAGGGUGGUAGAAUUUCAGGUGUAGCGGUGAAAUGCGUAGAGAUCUGAAGGAAUACCGAUGGCGAAGGCAGCCACCUGGGUCAACACUGACGCUCAUGUACGAAAGCGUGGGGAGCAAACGGGAUUAGAUACCCCGGUAGUCCACGCCGUAAACGAUGUCUACUAG